GGUGAUUCAGUGGUAGAAUGCUUGCCUUGCAUGCAUGAGGCCCUGGGUUCAAUACCUCAGUACCA
Molecule: transfer RNA, 65 nt
Filed under: Dipodomys ordii (Ord's kangaroo rat)
Lineage: Eukaryota; Metazoa; Chordata; Mammalia; Rodentia; Heteromyidae
Rfam family: tRNA
About the family: Transfer RNA (tRNA) molecules are approximately 80 nucleotides in length. Their secondary structure includes four short double-helical elements and three loops (D, anti-codon, and T loops). Further hydrogen bonds mediate the characteristic L-shaped molecular structure. tRNAs have two regions of fundamental functional importance: the anti-codon, which is responsible for specific mRNA codon recognition, and the 3' end, to which the tRNAs corresponding amino acid is attached (by aminoacyl-tRNA synthetases). tRNAs cope with the degeneracy of the genetic code in two manners: having more than one tRNA (with a specific anti-codon) for a particular amino acid; and 'wobble' base-pairing, i.e. permitting non-standard base-pairing at the 3rd anti-codon position.
Source: Rfam by way of RNAcentral